UGAGGAAUAUUGCACAAUGGGCGCAAGCCUGAUGCAGCAACGCCGCGUGGAUGAUGAAGGCCUUCGGGUUGUAAAAUCCUUUUCUGGGGAAAGAUAAUGACGGUACCCCAGGAAUAAGUUCCGGCUAACUACGUGCCAGCAGCCGCGGUAAAACGUAGGGGACGAGCGUUGUUCGGAUUUACUGGGCGUAAAGGGCGCGUAGGCGGCAUGACAAGUCACUUGUGAAAUCUCUGGGCUUAACCCAGAACGGCCAAGUGAUACUGUCGCGCUAGAGUGCAGAAGGGGCAAUCGGAAUUCUUGGUGUAGCGGUGAAAUGCGUAGAUAUCAAGAGGAACACCUGAGGUGAAGACGGGUUGCUGGGCUGACACUGACGCUGAGGCGCGAAAGCCAGGGGAGCAAACGGGAUUAGAUACCCCCGUAGUCCCUGAGCGGGCUGGCAAGGCGCAU
This 447-nucleotide ribosomal RNA is filed under the name uncultured bacterium. RNAcentral's name for it is "bacterial SSU rRNA". It matches the Rfam family "Bacterial small subunit ribosomal RNA", at positions 355 to 825 of the family's 1533-position model. The record is from RNAcentral.